RNAcentral lists this ribosomal RNA (1466 nucleotides) under uncultured Bordetella sp. RNAcentral's name for it is "partial 16S-23S ribosomal RNA intergenic spacer". It matches the Rfam family "Bacterial small subunit ribosomal RNA". The record is from RNAcentral. Lineage: Bacteria; Pseudomonadati; Pseudomonadota; Betaproteobacteria; Burkholderiales; Alcaligenaceae.
AGUUCGAUUCUGGCUCAGAUUGAACGCUGGCGGGAUGCUUUACACAUGCAAGUCGAACGGCGGCACGGACUUCGGUCUGGUGGCGAGUGGCGAACGGUGAGUAAUGUAUCGGAACGCCUGAAGAAGUGGGGAUAACUACGCGAAAGUGUAGCGCUAAUACCGCAUACGCCCUUCGGGGGAAAGCGGGGACCUUUCGCCCCUGCACUAUUAGAGCGGCCGAUAUCGGAUUAGCUAGUUGGUGGGGUAACGGCUCACCAAGGCGACGAUCCAGCCGGGUUUGAGGAUAGACCAACUGCGCCACCGGGACCAGACAUCGGCCCAGACUCCUACGGAGGCAGCAGGGAAUUUUGACAAUGGGGAAACCCCGGAUCCAGCCAUCCCGCGUGUGCGAUGAAGGCCUUCGGGUUGUAAAGCACUUUGGCAGGAGAAGAAACGGCACGGGAUAAUACCCCGCAACUGACGGUACCUGCAGAAUAAGCACCGGCUAACUACGCCAGCAGCCGCGGUAAUACAGGUGCAAGCGUUGGACCGGAAUUACUGGGCGCAAAGCGUGCGCAGGCGGUUCGGAAAGAAAGAUGAAACUCAGAGCUAACUUUGGGAACUGGUUUUUGGUUCACUUUGUUUGGAGUGUGUCAGAGGGAGGUGGAAUCGUAUGCGUAGCAGUGAAAUGCGUAGAUAUGCGGAGGAACACCGAUGGCGAAGGCAGCCUCCUGGGAUAACACUGACGCUCAUGCAACGAAAGCGUGGGGAGCAAACAGGAUUAGAUACCCUGGUAGUCCACGCCCUAAACGAUGUCAACUAGCUGUUGGGGCCUUCGGGCCUUGGUAGCGCAGCUAACGCGUGAAGUUGACCGCCUGGGGAGUACGGUCGCAAGAUUAAACUCAAAGGAAUUGAUUUGGACCCGCACGCAGCGGUGGAUGAUGCAGACGAAUUCGAUGCAACGCGAAAACCCAUCACCUUGACAUGUCUGGAAUCCCGGAAGAGAUUGGAGUGCUCAAAGAGAACCGGAACACAGGUGCUGCAUGGCUGAAACACGUCGGCUCGUGUCGUGAGAUGCGUUGGGUUAAGUCCCAACGAGCGCAACCCCGUCAUUAGUUGCUACGAAAGGGCACUCUAAUGAGACUGCCGGCGACAAACCCUGGAGGAAGGUGGAUGAUCGCCGUCCAAGUACCAUGGUGAAGCCACACGUCAUACAAUGGUCGGGACAGAGGGUCGCCAACCCGCGAGGGACGCCAAUCCCGGAAACCCGAUCGUAGUCCGAUCGCAGUCUGCAACUCGACUGCGCGGAAGUCGGAAAUCGCUAGUAAUCGCGGAUCAGCAUGUCGCGGUGAAUACGUUCCCGGGUCUUGUACACACCGCCCGUCACACCAUGGGGAGUGGGUUUUACCAGAAGUAAAGUUAGCCUAACUGCAAGGAGGGCGAUUACCACGGUAGAUCAUGACUGGGGUGAAGUCGUAACAAGGUAA